RNAcentral lists this ribosomal RNA (479 nucleotides) under uncultured organism. RNAcentral describes it as "partial 16S ribosomal RNA". It matches the Rfam family "Bacterial small subunit ribosomal RNA", at positions 329 to 799 of the family's 1533-position model. The record is from RNAcentral.
ACGUACACUCCUGCGGGAGGCAGCAGUGGGGAAUAUUGCACAAUGGGCGCAAGCCUGAUGCAGCCAUGCCGCGUGUAUGAAGAAGGCCUUCGGGUUGUAAAGUACUUUCAGCGGGGAGGAAGGCGAUAAGGUUAAUAACCUUGUCGAUUGACGUUACCCGCAGAAGAAGCACCGGCUAACUCCGUGCCAGCAGCCGCGGUAAUACGGAGGGUGCAAGCGUUAAUCGGAAUUACUGGGCGUAAAGCGCACGCAGGCGGUCUGUCAAGUCGGAUGUGAAAUCCCCGGGCUCAACCUGGGAACUGCAUUCGAAACUGGCAGGCUAGAGUCUUGUAGAGGGGGGUAGAAUUCCAGGUGUAGCGGUGAAAUGCGUAGAGAUCUGGAGGAAUACCGGUGGCGAAGGCGGCCCCCUGGACAAAGACUGACGCUCAGGUGCGAAAGCGUGGGGAGCAAACAGGAUUAGAUACCCUAGUAGUCCCAUG